RNAcentral lists this ribosomal RNA (201 nucleotides) under Lodderomyces orthopsilosis. RNAcentral's name for it is "Candida orthopsilosis partial 28S ribosomal RNA". It matches the Rfam family "Eukaryotic large subunit ribosomal RNA", at positions 1 to 197 of the family's 3401-position model. The record is from RNAcentral. Lineage: Eukaryota; Fungi; Ascomycota; Pichiomycetes; Serinales; Debaryomycetaceae.
UUCGACCUCAAAUCAGGUAGGACUACCCGCUGAACUUAAGCAUAUCAAUAAGCGGAGGAAAAGAAACCAACAGGGAUUGCCUUAGUAGCGGCGAGUGAAGCGGCAAAAGCUCAAAUUUGAAAUCUGGCACUUUCAGUGUCCGAGUUGUAAUUUGAAGAAGGUAUCUUUGGGUCUGGCUCUUUGUCUACGUUUCGUUGCAAC